AAGUCGUAACAAGGUUUCCGUAGGUGAACCUGCGGAAGGAUCAUUAACACGUUUUAGUUCCAAACGUUUUCUGACCCAUUCAUUUUCCGUGCACCAAUAUACAACCGGCCUCCUGACCUCUCCUCUCAGUUUAUUCUGUCUGUUGAUUGUGCCAGGCGUCAUUGGGGUAACAUAGGAUCUUGUUGACUUUUGAAAAUGAAAAGUUUGCGCUUAGUAAUUUUGAAAAACAAUGAGAGCCUCCUGAUUGACGUUGCCAACUCACCCAACCCUUAAAUCUAAUUGCUCUAAACUCUUAGUUGUUUGAAGUGAUGACCUUUUUUAAAAAAAGGCUUAUCAUUUUUUCAACGAUCUUAAAACAAAUAACAACUCUUAACAACGGAUAUCUUGGUUCUC
This 393-nucleotide unclassified non-coding RNA is filed under the name fungal sp. Its description in RNAcentral is "partial internal transcribed spacer region". The stretch from base 1 to 46 matches the Rfam family "Eukaryotic small subunit ribosomal RNA", at positions 1786 to 1831 of the family's 1831-position model. Lineage: Eukaryota; Fungi. The record is from RNAcentral.